AUUUAGUUAAAGCCAAAAAGAGGCAUAUUACUGUUAAUAAUACAAUUGGGAAAUCCCUAACUUUCCAG
This 68-nucleotide transfer RNA is filed under the name Laemobothrion atrum. RNAcentral's name for it is "tRNA-Asn". The record is from RNAcentral. Lineage: Eukaryota; Metazoa; Arthropoda; Insecta; Psocodea; Laemobothriidae.